GUUGAUUCCAUGGACACAUUUCUGCUGGAGAAAACCCACAAUAAAUAUUCUCUAACAGUGAUUAUUAUGGAGACCAGGAGAGGAAGCUGAACUUGAAGUUGGUCUUUGAAGAAUUCAUAAUCUUUGGGGAAGUGGAGUUCAUUCUAAGUUGAAAGAAAACAGCCAAACACCAAGUUUCCUUCUGAAGAACUACACCCUUGGGUGGCCAUUAGAACCUGGAUGCAGUUCAACCAGAUGAAGAUUCUAUUUCAUCCAUUAUUUGAGGUGUGAAAAGGACAACUUUAUCAUUAGCCUUCCAUCUGCUCAUGUAAACGUGGACAUUUACCUUCAGCAAUGAUGAUGGAGUUCUGUUUUC
Molecule: long non-coding RNA, 355 nt
Organism: Myotis myotis
Lineage: Eukaryota; Metazoa; Chordata; Mammalia; Chiroptera; Vespertilionidae
Exons: 4
Source: RefSeq, a predicted model, not a curated record